This 409-nucleotide ribosomal RNA is filed under the name uncultured prokaryote. RNAcentral describes it as "bacterial SSU rRNA". It matches the Rfam family "Bacterial small subunit ribosomal RNA", at positions 505 to 918 of the family's 1533-position model. The record is from RNAcentral.
GUGCCAGCAGCCGCGGUAAUACGUAGGGGGCAAGCGUUACUCGGAUUUAUUGGGCGUAAAGAGAAUUCAGGCGGUCAUGUAAGUCAGUGGUGAAAUACCUCGGCUCAACUGAGGAAUUGCCUUUGAUACUGCGUGACUCGAGGACAGGAGAGGAAGGCGGAAUUCCCGGUGUAGCGGUGGAAUGCGUAGAUAUCGGGAGGAACACCUGAGGCGAAGGCGGCUUUCUGGACUGGUCCUGACGCUGAUAUUCGAAAGCUAGGGGAGCAAACAGGAUUAGAUACCCUGGUAGUCCUAGCUGUAAACGAUGGAUACUAGAUCUUGCAUGAUUUUGCUUGGUCGAAGCUAACGCGUUAAGUAUCCCGCCUGGGGAGUACGGUCGCAAGGCUGAAACUUAAAUGAAUUGACGGGA